This 253-nucleotide ribosomal RNA is filed under the name uncultured bacterium. RNAcentral describes it as "partial 16S ribosomal RNA". It matches the Rfam family "Bacterial small subunit ribosomal RNA", at positions 524 to 776 of the family's 1533-position model. The record is from RNAcentral.
CACGGGGGGAGCAAGCGUUGUUCGGAAUUACUGGGCGUAAAGGGCGCGUAGGCGGCACUGUUAGUCAGGCGUGAAAGUCCUGGGCUCAACCUGGGAACUGCGCUUGAUACGGCAGAGCUAGAGGAUGGAAGAGGCUCGCGGAAUUCCCAGUGUAGAGGUGAAAUUCGUAGAUAUUGGGAAGAACACCGGUGGCGAAGGCGGCGAGCUGGUCCAUUACUGACGCUGAGGCGCGACAGCGUGGGGAGCAAACAGG